GAUGAACGCUGGCGGCGUGCUUAACACAUGCAAGUCGAACGAAGCAAUUAAUAGGAAGUUUUCGGAUGGAAUAAUAAUUGACUGAGUGGCGGACGGGUGAGUAACGCGUGGGUAACCUGCCUCAUACAGGGGGAUAACAGUUAGAAAUGACUGCUAAUACCGCAUAAGCGCACAGGACCGCAUGGUCUGGUGUGAAAAACUCCGGUGGUAUGAGAUGGACCCGCGUCUGAUUAGCUAGUUGGUAAGGUAACGGCUUACCAAGGCGACGAUCAGUAGCCGACCUGAGAGGGUGAUCGGCCACAUUGGGACUGAGACACGGCCCAAACUCCUACGGGAGGCAGCAGUGGGGAAUAUUGCACAAUGGGGGAAACCCUGAUGCAGCGACGCCGCGUGAGUGAAGAAGUAUUUCGGUAUGUAAAGCUCUAUCAGCAAGGAAGAAAAUGACGGUACUUGACUAAGAAGCCCCGGCUAACUACGUGCCAGCAGCCGCCGUAAAAC
This 498-nucleotide ribosomal RNA is filed under the name uncultured bacterium. RNAcentral's name for it is "bacterial SSU rRNA". It matches the Rfam family "Bacterial small subunit ribosomal RNA", at positions 28 to 526 of the family's 1533-position model. The record is from RNAcentral.